Molecule: small nucleolar RNA, 92 nt
Gene: U3
Rfam family: Small nucleolar RNA U3
About the family: Small nucleolar RNAs (snoRNAs) are involved in the processing and modification of rRNA in the nucleolus. There are two main classes of snoRNAs: the box C/D class, and the box H/ACA class. U3 snoRNA is a member of the box C/D class.
Source: Ensembl
AAGACUAUACUUUCAGGGAUCAUUUCUAUAGUUUCUAACAUGGAAAUGUGUUUCUAAAGUGUUACGUCUCCCUAACCACGAUGACGAGUAGN